UAUACACCAACAGGAUAAUAUCACGAGUGUGUGUGGCAACACUGCCGCAUGUUAAUCCUGCCUGCCUCCUGGGAUGAUCUUUCUCAUCCCAGCAGAGCCUACAGAGCCUCCUUUGUUCUUCCCAGAAGUGGCCUCAUCGGGCUGGACCUGGGGGAGGUGACCAAGGAAGUGAAAAUCAAAGAGCCCAAGGAAUGAAGCUGGCAUGGCGCUAGUCAGGGGAUGGACAGCAUCUAUGCUCUGUUCUGCCAGGAGCACUCUCGGAGAUAUGGUUCGUUCUCUUGAGAGGGAAAGCCUCCUGGGACUCGCGUGCACCCAUCCUGUCCAGCUGCGCUCCUUAGUUGCAGGCCCUGGAGCCAGGGAAGGCGGGAGUGGACUUUCGCCUGAGGCAGCAGCUGCGUGGUUAGUGGUCUGUGGCCAGGGGGGCAUUCAAGGUAGGGCACAGAACUUCCAGGCCAGGGCACCAGCCCAAAAUAGAGCCCUGGUUUGCUUUAUCUACCGUGUAGCCUGUGCUGGUCCCCAUGACAUAAGCUUCUUUUGCUGUGAGACAGGAAAUCUCUUUCUAGGCUGCUGGGGAGAUGAGAUUUUUCAGGUCAAAGUCUCAGAGUCAUUCACACAAUCCAGGAAUCUCUUCCCAAACUCCAUACUCCUAUGCUCAGCCCUCCAAGGCAGUGAUUCUCGAAGUAUGAACCACUUCAAGACCAGCAGCUCAGCACUACCAGGGAUCUUAUUAGAAAUGCAAAUUCUGUCAGGUGUGAUAGCUCACACCAGUAAUCCCAGCACUUCGGGAGGCCGAGGGGGCAGAUCACUUGAGGUCAGGAGUUUGAAACCAGCCUGGCCAACAUGGUGAAAUCCUGUCUCUACGAAAAGUACAAAAAUUAGCUGGGCAUGAUGGCGCAUACCUGGAGUCCCAGCUACUCAGGAGGCUGAGGCAGGAGAAUCGCUUCAACCCAGGAAGCAGAGGUUGCAGUGAGCUGAGGUUGCACCACUGCACUCCAGCCAGGACGACAGAGCAAGACUCCAUCUCAAAAAAAAAAAAAAAAAAAAAAAAAGAACAGAAAUGCAAAUUCUUAGAUCCCAGUGCCAAGGGUGGCUGGAGACAGUUUGUAACAUCUCAGGAGAACCAAUUGCACGUGUCUCUUUCCUAACUCCACAUUUAGUGACCAUCACACUGGGGGCUUGAAAUCAACCACGGUGAGAGUGUUUACACUGUGGAACAUUACAAAUCAGUGCUCAUUUUUCUUUCUGAAAGCCCAUUGUUAAACAGUUUCCAGCACACCACUGGACCCUACCCAGACCUACUGAACCAGAGCCCUGAAGGUGGAACCCCGCAAUCUGUGUUUCAAUAAGCUUUCCAGGUGAUUCUGAUGCACAUUCAAGUUUGAGAAUCACUGUUCCCAUGGGCCAGCUCUAGUGGUAUCAUAAGAAAGAAAGGAAUGUGGGGGUGCCCAAGGAGUAGGAUUUCACAAGGAAACUUUGGAAAAGGUAAAGAAAGAAGAGAGAAAGUAAACUAGGCCCUGGGGCCUUCCUCCAGGCAAAGAGGCAACCAGGCACUUGGCAGGAAAUACCCCUGGACGGAGAUGAGACCUGCAGCCCCGGGGAAUGGAAGGAGGAAAGAGAAUCUGGUGAGUAGGUGGGAUGCAGCCAACGUCAAAUAGGUCAUUUUUCCACGUAACCGGAUGAGGGAGAUGGCGUCAACUACUCUAAGUCAUGAGAUCGGAAGGGCACAGGAUAAUUGGCUGGGAAAAUGCUCCUUUGGGUGCAUAUUUCUGUAACGAAGAAAAACACAUUUAUGAGCAUUUGUUUUGUUUGUUUGAGGCAGGGUCUCACUCAGUCACCCAGGCUGGAGUGCAGUGGCACGAUCAUGGCUCACAGCAGCCUCAAACUCCUGGGCUCAAGCAAUCCUCCUGCCUCAGCCUUCCCAGUAGCUGGGGCUACAGGUGCACACCACCAUGCCUGGCUAAGUUUUGUAUUUUUGGUAAAGACAAAGUCUCACUAUCUUGACCAGGCUGGUUUUGAAUUCCUGGGCUAAAAGGA
This 2034-nucleotide long non-coding RNA is filed under the name Pan troglodytes (chimpanzee). RNAcentral describes it as "long non-coding RNA NONPTRT015875". Lineage: Eukaryota; Metazoa; Chordata; Mammalia; Primates; Hominidae. The record is from RNAcentral.